This 295-nucleotide unclassified non-coding RNA is filed under the name Hevea brasiliensis (rubber tree). Lineage: Eukaryota; Viridiplantae; Streptophyta; Magnoliopsida; Malpighiales; Euphorbiaceae. The record is from RNAcentral.
ACCAGGUUGAGGAAAAAAAAAAGCAGCCUAAUAGGCAAGGCAUUGGGGAAAAAAAAUUUUGAGGGACGUGAGAGUAAAAUGGAAGGAAAUGGUCAAAGAGACAGACAUCAUCUCGGAGUCUUGUGCAAGGAAAACGUCACCUUAGCGUGAAAGAACAGCGCAUUGGAUCGCUUGUCCAACAAAAGGUGCAAUUCCCGAUGUCACUUCACACAAUUAUCAUCCCCUCAACGAAACACGUUUUUACUCCAUUCUCCAUCUGGAAAGUGCCAAAUCACCAGCAGCUGGAUUCAAAAUG